Long non-coding RNA from Leopardus geoffroyi (Geoffroy's cat), 600 nucleotides. RefSeq lists it as uncharacterized. Lineage: Eukaryota; Metazoa; Chordata; Mammalia; Carnivora; Felidae. The transcript has 4 exons. The record is from RefSeq and is a predicted model, not a curated record.
AGAAUGCAGAAUAAAUAUGCUAUAAAUAAAUGCAACUUUUAGUUAAGGGUGAUGUAGUAAUACUGACACAUGCUGUUAAAAUACUUCCUAGGAGAGGUGGUUCAAGAUGGCAGUGUAGGGAGAUCUUUACCUCACCUCCUUCCAUGGACCCAACAAAUAUACAGCUACAUCUGGAACAAGUCCCUCUGAAAGGAAUCUGAGAACUGGUUGAACACCUGAUCAACGAAGGAUCAAAGGACCACACUGAGACAGAAGACUUUAGAAUAAUUCCCUCAUCUUCUCACCACCAAACUUACCAGCUACCUGCAUCUGCACUCUGCCUUCCUCUUUCCUGCUGUGUUGGAAGAAGUGUCCCUUCUUUAAUCAAAGUUCUGGAAGCUGGAAAGCCAAAGAUCAAAGUUCAGUUUCAGAAGAGAAGGAGCCAUGAAUUAUGGAGACACCUGUCACCUAAUGAAUUGACUAACAAACAAUAAAAUAGGAGAAGACGUUAAUAGAUGGUAGGAAGAAGGAGGGGCCUUUGUUAAGUAAGGCAACACAUCUCUUCAGACUUGUCCUGGUCACUCUACCAAUAAAAAGCAUGGGAUUGAUGCAUAUAUAUUA